UAGAGAGCAGGGCUGGCUCUGGGUCUGCACAAGGGUAAAUUUGGACAUAGAAAAUUAACACCAUGUGAAGGUGAAGGCAGAGACUGGGUGAUGCUUCUAUAAACCAAGAAACUCCAAGGACUGUCAGCAAACCAGCAGAAGCUAGGAGAGAGGCAUGGAACGGAUUUCUCCUCACAGCCCUCAGAAGAAACCAACCCUGUCACCAUUUUGAUCUUGGACUUUAGCCUCUGGAACUGUGAGACAAUACAUUUCUGUUUGUUUCAGCCACCUAGUUCAUAGUACUUUGAAGUGACCUUUACACCACUCUCACUUAGAGAUGAGGUCUGUGUCCCCUCCUCUUGAAAUUGAGUGGCUUUUGUGACUGUGUACACAGGUAGAGUAAACUGCAGAGCUGCCUGUCUGUGACUUCCAAGGCUAGGUCAUAAAAGGAGAUAAAGCUUCUUCCUGGCUGGUUGGGCUGCUUGCUCUUGAAGCCUUCAGUCUCUAUGCACGCAGCAUGCCUUCCCAGCCUCCUGUGGUUGUAGAGUGUAUAGAAGGCAGUUGGAUCACUAUGGACAGCGGGUAAGAGCUGAGGAAGCAGCCUCCGCCAGGUGGUAACAUGGAGGACCCUGAAGGGUAGGCCAUGGGAAUGAGCUCUCGAUGCUUCUCUACAAUCAUGAGUAAAAGUCAGGCUUCUCCAUGGAGCAGAACUAGCUUGGACACUAGCCUGAUGAGCAGAUAUCUCAGGAAUUACAUGGGACAGAGAAGAUGAGGUCCCAGUGAGCAUUGUUUCCCCAAAGCCUGGAGUCAGAAAGCCCCAUGGGAUGGGAAGAAGAGGGAGUGUGUCUUCAACCUGAGAUAUUCCUGAGUCACCUUAGAUUGGCAGCCCGACACAGAUAGGCUUGGAGCAAAGAGCAAGGACUGAGGGAUGGAUGAGUCAGAGGGAAGGGGUCUGGACCAAUGCCUCCAUUGUGAACUGUGAGGCUCUUGCAUAUUGGGAGCUCUCUGAAGGCAGCAGUGUCUCCAGCAUCACACCAAGAGCAACUGAGGCUAGGCUUGUGUCUCUACCCUCUCCCUUCUAAGUGAGGGAAGUCUUUGGUUUUCUGUGUGUCUCCCCGCAAUGCCCAGAAUAGGGAUUGAUGCAGAGGGUGAUGUUGUCUGAAUGCAAUCGAGUGACUUUGCUUUCCUGUCUUAGCCAUUUCAUACUGCUAUCACAAAACACCACAGAGCAUGGAUGGAUCUGUAGGCCAUUAUCCUUAGCAAACUAACACAGGAACAGAAAACCAAAUACUGCAUGUUCUCACUUAUAAGUGGGAGCUAAAUAAUGAGAACUCAUGGGCACAAAAAGGGGAACAAUAGACACUGGGACCUACUACUUGAGGGUGGAGGGUAGGAGGAGAGAGAUGGUCAGAAAAAUUAACUAUUGGGUACUAAGUUUAGUACCCGAGUGAUGAAAUUAUCUGUAAACCAAACCCUUUUGACACGAGUUUACCUAUAUAACAAACCUGCAAAUGUACUGUGAACCUAAAGUAAAGUUAAAAUCCCACAGACUGCAUGAUUUAUAAAGAACAGGAAUGUAUUUUCUCACAGCUCUAGAGGCUGGGAAUUCCAAGAUCAAAGUUCCAGCAGGUUCAGUUUUCUGAUGAGGGCCUGGUCUCUGCUUCUAAGAUGGAACCUGGAAUGCUGCAUUCUCCAGAAGAGAGAGAUGCUGUGUCCUCACAUGGCAGAAGGCAGAGGUCAAGAGGAGCAAAUUUCAUCCAUCAAGUCCUUUUGUAGGGGCACUUAAUUCCAUUCAUGAGGGCUCCACCCUCAAGACUUAAUCACCCCCUGAAGGCCCUACCUCUUAAUAUUGUUACAUUGGUGAUUAGUUUCAAUGUCUGGAUAAUGGAGAGGCCACAUUCAAACCAUAGGAUCUCCUCUCGUUAAACAUGAACCCAGUGUCCC
Molecule: long non-coding RNA, 1923 nt
Filed under: Homo sapiens (human)
Lineage: Eukaryota; Metazoa; Chordata; Mammalia; Primates; Hominidae
Description: HSALNT0291337
Source: RNAcentral